Molecule: ribosomal RNA, 497 nt
Filed under: uncultured bacterium
Lineage: Bacteria
Description: partial 16S ribosomal RNA
Rfam family: Bacterial small subunit ribosomal RNA
Source: RNAcentral
GAUGAACGCUGGCGGCGUGCCUAAUACAUGCAAGUAGAACGCUGAAGGAAGGAGCUUGCUCUUUCCGGAUGAGUUGCGAACGGGUGAGUAACGCGUAGGUAACCUGCCUGGUAGCGGGGGAUAACUAUUGGAAACGAUAGCUAAUACCGCAUAACAGUAGAUGUUGCAUGACAACUAUUUGAAAGGGGCAAUUGCUCCACUACCAGAUGGACCUGCGUUGUAUUAGCUAGUUGGUGAGGUAACGGCUCACCAAGGCGACGAUUCAUAGCCGACCUGAGAGGGUGAUCGGCCACACUGGGACUGAGACACGGCCCAGACUCCUACGGGAGGCAGCAGUAGGGAAUCUUCGGCAAUGGACGGAAGUCUGACCGAGCAACGCCGCGUGAGUGAAGAAAGUUUUCGGAUCGUAAAGCUCUGUUGUAAGAGAAGAACGAGUGUGAGAGUGGAAAGUUCACACUGUGACGGUAUCUUACCAGAAAGGGACGGCUAACUACGUG